CGACUUAGCUCAGUUGGUAGAGCAACUGCCUUGUAAUCAGUAGGUCACCAGUUCGAUUCCGGUAGUCGGC
RNAcentral lists this transfer RNA (70 nucleotides) under fish gut metagenome. It matches the Rfam family "tRNA". Rfam says of the family: Transfer RNA (tRNA) molecules are approximately 80 nucleotides in length. Their secondary structure includes four short double-helical elements and three loops (D, anti-codon, and T loops). Further hydrogen bonds mediate the characteristic L-shaped molecular structure. tRNAs have two regions of fundamental functional importance: the anti-codon, which is responsible for specific mRNA codon recognition, and the 3' end, to which the tRNAs corresponding amino acid is attached (by aminoacyl-tRNA synthetases). tRNAs cope with the degeneracy of the genetic code in two manners: having more than one tRNA (with a specific anti-codon) for a particular amino acid; and 'wobble' base-pairing, i.e. permitting non-standard base-pairing at the 3rd anti-codon position. The record is from RNAcentral. RNAcentral also lists the same sequence under 1 other name.